This 194-nucleotide ribosomal RNA is filed under the name uncultured bacterium. RNAcentral's name for it is "partial 16S ribosomal RNA". It matches the Rfam family "Bacterial small subunit ribosomal RNA", at positions 338 to 524 of the family's 1533-position model. RNAcentral also lists the same sequence under 1 other name. The record is from RNAcentral.
CCUACGGGAGGCAGCAGUGGGGAAUAUUGCACAAUGGGCGCAAGCCUGAUGCAGCCAUGCCGCGUGUAUGAAGAAGGCCUUCGGGUUGUAAAGUACUUUCAGCGAGGAGGAAGGCGUUAAGGUUAAUAACCUUGGCGAUUGACGUUACUCGCAGAAGAAGCACCGGCUAACUCCGUGCCAGCAGCCGCGGUAAU